Molecule: ribosomal RNA, 253 nt
Filed under: uncultured bacterium
Lineage: Bacteria
Description: partial 16S ribosomal RNA
Rfam family: Bacterial small subunit ribosomal RNA
Source: RNAcentral
UACGAAGGGGGCGAGCGUUGUUCGGAUUUACUGGGCGUAAAGGGCGCGCAGGCGGCGAUCUUUGUCAGGCGUGAAAGCCCCGGGCUUAACCUGGGAACUGCGCUUGGGACGGGAUUGCUGGAGACCGGGAGAGGAGAGUGGAAUUCCCAGUGUAGAGGUGAAAUUCGUAGAUAUCGGGAGGAAUACCAGUGGCGAAGGCGCUGAACUGGACGGUAACUGACGCUGAGGUGCGAAAGCGUGGGUAGCAAACAGG